AGCCUCUGCAACUUCUCUGUGAAACUUUAACUCUUUUAGUGCUCGGAUAAGACUUGCAGACCUCCAAUCUUCCUUUGAAUGAAAGGGAAAAACAGAAGAGAUAGAAAGUCAGUGAAACAAGAGCUAAGUUUCUUUAGAGGAAAGGAGAAUGAGGAGAUGUUGUGAAGAUGGCUGAAAAUCCUUUUGUGAGCUGAAGGGUAGACUGUACUGCACUGAAAAUUCCUAUUAACCAUGGAGAAAGACAUGGGGGGUUGGAGUGUUUGUGAAAAAAUCCUUU
Molecule: non-coding RNA, 277 nt
Organism: Sturnus vulgaris (Common starling)
Lineage: Eukaryota; Metazoa; Chordata; Aves; Passeriformes; Sturnidae
Source: RefSeq, a predicted model, not a curated record